Molecule: ribosomal RNA, 626 nt
Filed under: uncultured Bacteroidales bacterium
Lineage: Bacteria; Pseudomonadati; Bacteroidota; Bacteroidia; Bacteroidales
Description: bacterial SSU rRNA
Rfam family: Bacterial small subunit ribosomal RNA
Source: RNAcentral
GAUGAACGCUAGCUACAGGCUUAACACAUGCAAGUCGAGGGGCAGCAUGACUGAAGCUUGCUUCAGUUGAUGGCGACCGGCGUACGGGUGCGUAACGCGUAUCCAACCUGCCCUCUACUCCGGAACAGCCCGUCGAAAGGCGGAUUAAUGCCGGAUGGUGUCCACUUGGUGCAUGCCAUGGUGGACUAAAGGUAACGGUAGAGGAUGGGGAUGCGACUGAUUAGGUAGACGGCGGGGUAACGGCCCACCGUGCCGACGAUCAGUAGGGGUUCUGAGAGGAAGGUCCCCCACACUGGAACUGAGACACGGUCCAGACUCCUACGGGAGGCAGCAGUGAGGAAUACUGGUCAAUGGGCGAGAGCCUGAACCAGCCAAGUAGCGUGAGGGAAGACUGCCCUAUGGGUUGUAAACCUCUUUUGAUUGGGAACAAAGAGCGCCACGUGUGGUGCGUUGCGUGUACCUUUCGAAUAAGCAUCGGCUAAUUCCGUGCCAGCAGCCGCGGUAAUACGGAAGAUGCGAGCGUUAUCCGGAUUUAUUGGGUUUAAAGGGAGCGUAGGCGGGCUGUUAAGUCAGCGGUCAAAUGUCAGGGCCCAACCUUGGCAUGCCGUUGAUACUGGCGGCCUUGA